UUAAAGAGUAAGGGUGCUCAGCGCCCGACCUCCAACCCUUUGUUGUUAAAACUACCUUGUUGCUUUGGCGGGACCGCUCGGUUCCGAGCCGCUGGGGAUUCGUCCCAGGCGAGUGCCCGCCAGAGUUAAACCAAACUCUUGUUAUUAAACCGGUCGUCUGAGUUAAAAUUUUGAAUAAAUCAAAACUUUCAACAACGGAUCUCUUGGUUCUCGCAUCGAUGAAGAACGCAGCGAAAUGCGAUAAGUAAUGUGAAUUGCAGAAUUCAGUGAAUCAUCGAAUCUUUGAACGCACAUUGCGCCCCUUGGUAUUCCGAGGGGCAUGCCUGUUCGAGCGUCAUUACACCACUCAAGCUAUGCUUGGUAUUGGGUGCCGUCCUUAGUUGGGCGCGCCUUAAAGACCUCGGCGAGGCCACUCCGGCUUUAGGCGUAGUAGAAUUUAUUCGAACGUCUGUCAAAGGAGAGGAACUCUGCCGAUUGAAACCUUUAUUUUUCUAGGUUGACCUCGGAUCAGGUAGGGAUACCCGCUGAACUUAA
This 534-nucleotide unclassified non-coding RNA is filed under the name Metschnikowia sp. JSKim-2014. RNAcentral describes it as "partial contains 18S rRNA, ITS1, 5.8S rRNA, and ITS2". The stretch from base 184 to 337 matches the Rfam family "5.8S ribosomal RNA". Lineage: Eukaryota; Fungi; Ascomycota; Pichiomycetes; Serinales; Metschnikowiaceae. The record is from RNAcentral.